RNAcentral lists this ribosomal RNA (253 nucleotides) under uncultured bacterium. RNAcentral describes it as "partial 16S ribosomal RNA". It matches the Rfam family "Bacterial small subunit ribosomal RNA", at positions 524 to 776 of the family's 1533-position model. The record is from RNAcentral.
UACAGAGGUCCCAAGCGUUGUUCGGAUUCACUGGGCGUAAAGGGUGCGUAGGUGGUCGGGUAAGUCUGAUGUGAAAUCUCCGAGCUCAACUCGGAAAUGGCAUUGGAUACUAUCUGGCUAGAGGAGUGGAGGGGGGACUGGAAUACUUGGUGUAGCAGUGAAAUGCGUAGAUAUCAAGUGGAACACCAGUGGCGAAGGCGAGUCCCUGGACACUUCCUGACACUGAGGCACGAAAGCUAGGGGAGCAAACAGG